AGCGAACGCUGGCGGCAGGCCUAACACAUGCAAGUCGAACGAACCUUUCGGGGUUAGUGGCGGACGGGUGAGUAACACGUGGGAACGUGCCUUUAGGUUCGGAAUAACUCAGGGAAACUUGUGCUAAUACCGAAUGUGCCCUUCGGGGGAAAGAUUAAUCGCCUUUAGAGCGGCCCGCGUCUGAUUAGCUAGUUGGUUGAGGUAAUGGCUCACCAAGGCGACGAUCAGUAGCUGGUAUGAGAGGAUGAUCAGACACAUUGGGACUGAGACACGGCCCAAACUCCUACGGGAGGCAGCAGUGGGGAAUCUUGCGCAAUGGGCGAAAGCCUGACGCAGCCAUGCCGCGUGAAUGAUGAAGGUCUUAGGAUUGUAAAAUUCUUUCACCGGGGACGAUAAUGACGGUACCCGGAGAAGAAGCCCCGGCUAACUUCGUG
This 434-nucleotide ribosomal RNA is filed under the name uncultured bacterium. Its description in RNAcentral is "partial 16S ribosomal RNA". It matches the Rfam family "Bacterial small subunit ribosomal RNA", at positions 29 to 507 of the family's 1533-position model. The record is from RNAcentral.